UACUCCUACGGGAGGCAGCAGUGGGGAAUAUUGGACAAUGGGCGAAAGCCUGAUCCAGCCAUGCCGCGUGUGUGAAGAAGGUCUUCGGAUUGUAAAGCACUUUAAGUUGGGAGGAAGGGCAGUAAGUUAAUACCUUGCUGUUUUGACGUUACCAACAGAAUAAGCACCGGCUAACUUCGUGCCAGCAGCCGCGGUAAUACGAAGGGUGCAAGCGUUAAUCGGAAUUACUGGGCGUAAAGCGCGCGUAGGUGGUUCAGCAAGUUGGAUGUGAAAUCCCCGGGCUCAACCUGGGAACUGCAUCCAAAACUACUGAGCUAGAGUACGGUAGAGGGUGGUGGAAUUUCCUGUGUAGCGGUGAAAUGCGUAGAUAUAGGAAGGAACACCAGUGGCGAAGGCGACCACCUGGACUGAUACUGACACUGAGGUGCGGAAGCGUGGGGAGCAAACAGGAUUAGAUACCCUGGUAGUCCACGCCGUAAACGAUGUCGACUAGCCGUUGGGAUCCUUGAGAUCUUAGUGGCGCAGCUAACGCGAUAAGUCGACCGCCUGGGGAGUACGGCCGCAAGGUUAAAACUCAAAUGAAUUGACGGA
This 591-nucleotide ribosomal RNA is filed under the name uncultured bacterium. Its description in RNAcentral is "bacterial SSU rRNA". It matches the Rfam family "Bacterial small subunit ribosomal RNA", at positions 334 to 917 of the family's 1533-position model. The record is from RNAcentral.